AUUUUAUAUGGGAGCAUCUGAUAUGGGAGUAUCUCAGUUGCUGAGACAAGAACCAACAUGUUCAAGUUUGGACCAGAGUUCAGUUGGCCAGUAACUGAACAAAAAUCUCAGCCAGAGCUGCAAGUGAUUUUAUUUGACAAUUUAUAGCCAUAUUUAUAGCCAUUCCUAUAUAAUACAGUUUAUAUAUAGUACAAUUUAUACUCUGCCUGGCAUAUAUUUUCCAGGUUUUAACCUAAACUGAGAUCCAUUGGUGAGUGGACCCCUACAAACGAUCUUAUUUACUAUCAACUGCACACUGGCACACAAUAGUCAAGAAUGGAAAUUAUCAAGCCAUCACACCAUUGCCCAGAAACCCAUGUAAAAUUGUGUUACCAGGUCAUUAGUGCCCACAGCACCAUGUCGGCUUCUCCUGGCACCCUUUCAGCACCCUCAUGCCACUUUCAACUUAUCGCCAAAAUCAUUACAAGCUCACUGUGAAUGAUUCAAUGCUUCCAUGUAAAGUGGGGGAGAAUGACGAUUGGUUGAAAACACUAGCAAAGGUUAUGUUGCUCUUGCAAUGAAUGGAAAAGAGGCCUCAGCUUUAUAUGACAUGAUGUUAAAUUGGUACAUAAGUUUCUUGACAAAAUACUGAUUUCUUUGACAUCCUAAAUCCCUCUUUUAAAGAUUGUAGCACAUAGUAAUUUCAUGCAUGUCUUCACACCUGUAAAUAAAAGUUUAUACUCAGCAAAUCUGACAAAUCAUAGAAUAGUAUGAAAUUCAAGCAUGUUAAAUUAAUAAAUUUGACCCUUUGCGUUUGCCGUUUGCGGUGAAAUAUCUCUACAUUUGUACG
Paramuricea clavata is the source of this 829-nucleotide non-coding RNA. Lineage: Eukaryota; Metazoa; Cnidaria; Anthozoa; Malacalcyonacea; Plexauridae. The record is from the annotation of a GenBank genome assembly.